Non-coding RNA from Sodiomyces alkalinus F11, 94 nucleotides. The record is from the annotation of a RefSeq genome assembly. NCBI's taxonomy places the organism in Eukaryota, Fungi, Ascomycota, Sordariomycetes, Glomerellales, Plectosphaerellaceae.
UCUCCGAUCGUAUAGUGGCUAGUAUGCCAGCUUGUCAAGGAACACCAAGUUCUACAAUUCGCUGGAGACCGGGGUUCAAUUCCCCGUCGGAGAG